This 1224-nucleotide long non-coding RNA is filed under the name Gallus gallus (chicken). The record is from RNAcentral. Lineage: Eukaryota; Metazoa; Chordata; Aves; Galliformes; Phasianidae.
UUCUGGCAUGUUUCUCCUUGACAGCCACUUCCUGUGUAUUAAUAGCCUUAUUGAUGCUGACAGUCAUUUUGCCCGCCUCCAUGGCCGCUCCCGCCGGGCCUCGCCGGAGCCCGAUCGGCGGGGCCGGGCCCCGCUCCCCGCUCCCCGCGGCUCCGCAGCUCCCACGGCGGCGGCGCGGGGCGGGGGCGGGGCGGGGGCGAAGCGCGCUCCCGCGUGGCCCCGCGGAGGAAUGGGGGGAGGGAGGUGGGAGCGCGCUCAGCCCUGCGCUGAACAACAAAGGGCGGCCGCGGGGUCGGCGCGCUGCUGAGCCCCCCCCGCUCCCCCCCGGUGCCGGGAGCGUCUCCGAGCUCGGGGAGUGGGGGCGACGAGGGAUGAGCGCGGGGUGCCCCUCUGCCCGAGCCCUGCCCCGGGGCUACGGGACGGGGAGCAGCCGGGCCGGAGAGAGCGCGGCAGCAGGUCGGCGUCUUUGUUUUUCUGUCGAGAAGCGCUUUAGCAGCUCCACAUGGGAGGCACAAAAGAAACCCAAACAACUCCGCUCUCAUUCUUUAAAUUCCCUUAAAGCAAACCCAAAGCAGGGAGAAGGAAAAGCAUCGCAGCACCGAAACGCAGCUGGCCCAGCGCAGAAGGUUCCCAGCCCUGGGGAAAAGAUGCUGCGUGGUGCCGGCCGCGGGGGCUAACGGGGCCGAGGGCUGCUGUGCUCUGCUCACGGCUCAGCUGCUCACUAAGGGACUCAGCUGCUCAGUUUUCACAACUUACCCUCAGCUUUCACUCGUUGCCCUCACCCUGUAGAUACCCGGUGAUGUGAAAAAAGUCCCAAAGAGUGAAUCCCCCCUUCCAAUAAACCUAGUUCCUAUGGGAGAAGGUGCUCUGGUACCUAUUCCUCAUCCCAGCCCAUAGGUACGCACAAGGCAGUGCUCUGGGUGUAAGCACCCAUCCCCAUCACAGGCACCUGUCCCCAUCCCAGCACAUCCUUGCAGCACAUGUGGCACUCCAUGCGUCAGGUCUCCAUGAUACCAACCACAGCUCGAGCAUAGGAGGCAAAGCCUGGAGGGAGUGCUGUGGGGUGAGAAAGGGAGCUGGGUUUGCUCCCUCCUAGCCGCAGAGCCCUGCUUUCAGCAGUACUAUUUAUGGGAUUUGGGAUAAAGCCCACCAUCUGCCCCAAGAAAACCUUGGUAACUUGUGUACAGAUAUAGCAAAUGAGGACUGACCAUCUGAGACGUGAGA